AUUGAACGCUGGCGGCAUGCCUUACACAUGCAAGUCGAACGGUAACGGGCCUUCGGGUGCCGACGAGUGGCGAACGGGUGAGUAAUACAUCGGAACGUGCCCGAUCGUGGGGGAUAACGAGGCGAAAGCUUUGCUAAUACCGCAUACGAUCUACGGAUGAAAGCAGGGGACCGCAAGGCCUUGCGCGGACGGAGCGGCCGAUGGCAGAUUAGGUAGUUGGUGGGAUAAAAGCUUACCAAGCCGACGAUCUGUAGCUGGUCUGAGAGGAUGAUCAGCCACACUGGGACUGAGACACGGCCCAGACUCCUACGGGAGGCAGCAGUGGGGAAUUUUGGACAAUGGGCGCAAGCCUGAUCCAGCCAUGCCGCGUGCAGGAUGAAGGCCUUCGGGUUGUAAACUGCUUCUGUACGGAACGAAAAGCCUUCUUUUAAUACAGGAGGGUCAUGACGGUACCGGAAGAAUAAGCACCGGCUAACUACGUG
This 482-nucleotide ribosomal RNA is filed under the name uncultured bacterium. RNAcentral describes it as "partial 16S ribosomal RNA". It matches the Rfam family "Bacterial small subunit ribosomal RNA", at positions 30 to 507 of the family's 1533-position model. The record is from RNAcentral.